RNAcentral lists this ribosomal RNA (676 nucleotides) under Liotiinae sp. SWA-2010. Its description in RNAcentral is "bacterial SSU rRNA". It matches the Rfam family "Eukaryotic small subunit ribosomal RNA", at positions 1125 to 1804 of the family's 1831-position model. Lineage: Eukaryota; Metazoa; Mollusca; Gastropoda; Trochida; Turbinidae. The record is from RNAcentral.
AUGGUUGCAAAGCUGAAACUUAAAGGAAUUGACGGAAGGGCACCACCAGGAGUGGGGCCUGCGGCUUAAUUUGACUCAACACGGGGCAACUUACCCGGUCCGGACACUGGAAGGAUUGACAGAUUGACAGCACUUUCUUGAUUCGGUGGGUGGUGGUGCAUGGCCGUUCUUAGUUGGUGGAGUGAUUUGUCUGGUUAAUUCCGAUAACGAACGAGACUCUAGCCUGCUAACUAGUUCGCCGGUAGCCUGUUGCCGAGCGUAACCGGCAUCGCUUCGGCGCAUGCCAACUUCUUAGAGGGAAGGGUGGCUUCUAAGCCAUAAGAAUGAGAGCAAUAACAGGUCUGUGAUGCCCUUAGAUGUUCGGGGCCGCACGCGCGCCACACUGAAUGAAUCAAUAGGGAUACCAACCUGCUCCGUGAGGAGUGGGAGACCCUGCGAAUCUCAUUCGUGAUGGGGAUUGGGGCUUGGAAUUGUUCCCCAUGAACGAGGAAUUCCCAGUAAGCGCCAGUCAUCAGCUGGCGUUGAUUACGUCCCUGCCCUUUGUACACACCGCCCGUCGCUACUACCGAUUGAAUGGUUUAGUGAGGCCAGUGGACUUCUCGACUGCUUGCGGUCAGGGCGGAAAGCUGGUCAAACUUGAUCACUUAGAGGAAGUAAAAGUCGUAACAAGGUUUCC